Molecule: ribosomal RNA, 253 nt
Filed under: uncultured bacterium
Lineage: Bacteria
Description: partial 16S ribosomal RNA
Rfam family: Bacterial small subunit ribosomal RNA
Source: RNAcentral
UACGUAGGGGGCUAGCGUUGUCCGGAAUCAUUGGGCGUAAAGAGCGCGUAGGCGGCCAGAUAAGUCCGGUGUGAAAGUCACAGGCUCAACCUGUGAAUGCCGCUGGAAACUGUCUGGCUAGAGUCCGGGAGGGGCGAGUGGAAUUCCUGGUGUAGCGGUGAAAUGCGCAGAUAUCAGGAAGAACACCUAUGGCGAAGGCAGCUCUCUGGGACGGUACUGACGCUGAGACGCGAAAGCGUGGGGAGCGAACAGG